GCAAACGUUUGUCUUAUCAGUGUUCUUCUUAACGAGGUUUCACUGUAAUUAUAGUAAUUAGUGGCUCAUCUCGGCGAAACGGGCACCAUUUCCGCACUGGAGCUUCGUGGUGAAAUAUUUUCACUGCAGCGCUAGCGCUAGAUCAGUAGAUGUAGUUUCUUCAGUUUUUCAUGUUACAGGCAGCUUGUAGACGAGUUGUUGUAGGCAGCGAGGUGGUGUUACAGUUAGUUCGGCGUCUGCUGCUUCGUGUCAAAGUUUGUUUGGGUGCAGGCUGUGUAAGAAUCUGUGUGUUAGCUAAAGGGUUUCAUUGAAGUUUCCUACUGGCUCGGAGGCUCCAUUCGACUGCUCUAUACCGUCACGACGUCGAGAACUGCUACAGCCUAUCCACCUACGACGUUCAAAGUCGUGUCCAGGAUUCAAGCAAACCGUGAUAGACUCCUGGCUGCAGGAGCGCUCGCCACUGGACGUUCAUCGUCCCCGUUUGUCAUGGUGUUCCAGUAAUUCUGGAUGGUGACUGACGUCCGUGACUUUUGUUGUUGUCGCAGUUAUGGCUACAGCAGAGAACCACGCGGUCAACACAUGGCCAUGGUCAAGCCAGAUGUUCCGCAAGUGGAUCCCACGCCUCCAAGCAGCGCUCAGCUGCGAUGCAAUUCGUGUGGAAUGCUGUGCCAAGCGGUUGAUCUCCGAUGCGCAGAAGAAGGAAUUGAUGGCGAUAAAAGAUUCGGCCAAACACAAUGACCGACUGCUAGAUAUGCUGAGCAGGGGUACAGCUGAGACUUUCCACACCUUCUGUAGUAUUGUGCGUAGAACCGAACCUAAAGCAAACUUUUCAAAGUUCCUAGAUGACAUGCAGUCAGUGGAUACCUUUGUUGGAGGUAAGUAGAAAUGUUAUCAGUCAGGUGACUGAGAGACACUCACAGAAUUGUACAUAGGGGGUGUAGCUCAACCAUCUGUGGUGUAGUGACCAUGUACCACCGGCAACCUCAUAGCCGCCAUUUUGCCUGUUAAGACUAUGUAGUAGCUAUGACGACCAUUUUCUGGUGUACUGACCGGACUAUGCUGACUAUACAGGAGCUACACACCUGCCUGUACAUGUACAGACAAUACUGCAUGUCCUUGAGUUGCUUUGCUACAUAUCUGUACAGUGCAUAUUGAUGGCACCAACCUGCGUUGAAGUUUUGCAAAGGUGCU
Long non-coding RNA from Sycon ciliatum, 1191 nucleotides. RefSeq lists it as uncharacterized. The transcript is spliced from 3 exons. The record is from RefSeq and is a predicted model, not a curated record. NCBI's taxonomy places the organism in Eukaryota, Metazoa, Porifera, Calcarea, Leucosolenida, Sycettidae.